UCCGGUUUAACACCGGCAGUCCCUCUAGAGAUCCACUUGCGUGGCAACUAAAGGCGAGGGUUGCGCUCGUUGCGGGACUUAACCCAACAUCUCACGACACGAGCUGACGACAGCCACGCAGCACCUGUGUCCAGGUCCCGUAAGGGAAGGAAUCCAUCUCUGGAAGCCGUCCUGGCAUGUCAAACGCUGGUAAGGUUCUGCGCGUUGCUUCGAAUUAAACCACAUGCUCCACCGCUUGUGUAGGCCCCCGUCAAUUUCUUUGAGUUUUAACCUUGCGGCCGUACUCCCCAGGCGGCAUAUUUAACGCGUUAGCUCCGGCACAGAUCAACUGAAUGACCUACACCAAAUAUGCAUCGUUUAGGGCGUGGACUAC
This 373-nucleotide unclassified non-coding RNA is filed under the name uncultured Pseudomonadota bacterium. Its description in RNAcentral is "uncultured proteobacterium contains 16S-23S intergenic spacer region". The record is from RNAcentral. Lineage: Bacteria; Pseudomonadati; Pseudomonadota.